Molecule: transfer RNA, 84 nt
Filed under: Felis catus (domestic cat)
Lineage: Eukaryota; Metazoa; Chordata; Mammalia; Carnivora; Felidae
Rfam family: tRNA
About the family: Transfer RNA (tRNA) molecules are approximately 80 nucleotides in length.
Source: Rfam by way of RNAcentral
GCCUGGGUGGCCCAGUGGUUGAGCGUCCGACUUUAGCUCGGGUCGUGAUCUCAUGGUUCAUGAGUUCAAGCCCCAUAUCGGGCU